This is a long non-coding RNA of Populus trichocarpa (black cottonwood), 1719 nucleotides long. RefSeq lists it as uncharacterized. NCBI's taxonomy places the organism in Eukaryota, Viridiplantae, Streptophyta, Magnoliopsida, Malpighiales, Salicaceae. The record is from RefSeq and is a predicted model, not a curated record. The transcript has 5 exons.
ACUUUAAGAACCCAAGCACUUAAGAACACAAAUGGAAAGCUAAAUAUUUCUGCUCGAGGAAAUUCUUGGGAAGAAUGAGAAAAUACCUGCACAGAGAAACCAUAAACCUCCAAACUCUGUAUAAAUUUAAUAAUACCACUUGGCAACCACAAACUCAAUUUCUUUUCUUAAAAAAAAAUCAGCCCACAUAGGAUAAAAAGACGUAGAAAUCUUGUGAAACUCAAAUGUUCUUGAUUUCCCUGAAACAACUCCAUAGAACCUUAAAAUCCCUGAAGAAUGCACAUACUAUCCUCAAAAUCUGAACAUCAUCACCCGUUAUCAUUUUCUUUCACCGACCUCAAGACUGGCUGACAAAAUCCCGAAAACAGAAGAAAAAAAUCAAAGAAUUUACAUAGUGGCAACCCCAAACCCAGAAAAUCUUAAGAGAGGACACACCCUUCAACACCGCUAAUUCCAUUCUCAUUCAUAUCCAUUAACCAUCCACCGCAGAAGCUGGAAAAAAUGAUAAUUUGUAUUUCAAUCCCCGCCAAAGUCAAAUGCUUUGUUUUUCUCUGCUACCAAUCCCACGCCAUCUACCUCUGCCUCCCUUUUCACUCACCGGAACCCUUCAGUUCUCUCCAAAAAUUUUUGUGGGUUUCUUUCGAUUUCGAAUUCUUCAGUUCCUCCUUCACCGGGAGCUUUAUGACGUGGUUGAGGUGGUCAUGGGUUUGGGUGGGAAGCCACUAGCGAGAUUUCCAUGCAUCUGGGGACUUUGUUUUAUCGGAUUGUCCCAUCACCCUUUAGGGUCCCCAGCAUGCUACUUCACAGGUAUUCAUAGAGGAAGUUGAAAAUCAUAUGCCCCAAGUGAGCGUGAUAGAUGAAAUCGGGACAAAACUUGAAGCAAUGGCUGUGAGUACAAUUGCACAGCAUGAGUUCAGCUAGUGGCCACUGCUCAUGGAAUCACAAUAGGAAUUUGAUAAUGAAUCCUUCUCUAGAGAUGCUUGUUGGAGGAAUAAAGGGAAAAUGUCAGAGCCUCAUAAAUGCCUUGUCGAAAACAUAUUAAGGGCCUAAGGACACAGGCAACAGAGGUAAAGACAAGGUCGUUCCCCAUAUGUGGAAGUUUGCAAGAUGACCUCUCAGGGAGUAGAAGAAACUGUAGAAAAUGAACCUGCCUUGAAACAUAUGCUGAAAAGAAAGAUGAUGUUUGGUUGAAGAUUUCCACUUGACAGAUGAAAGGAUUGGUCAUAAUGAGUUCACUUCUGAGUCUCAUCUGGACAUGGGAGAUAAUUCUUUGGAACAUGAAGUACUGCUUCGCCUUUAUAUCUAUAGGUGUGAAAAAUACUGGAUAUGGAACUUACAUAAAGAGGAUACAAAAUUGUCAGACAAGAUCAAUGCCCUGGAGGUAAAAGUUAAAUUUCUUCUUUCAGUUGUGUUUUUUGAGUAUUUAUUAUUGAUUAAUCUAUUUUGUGAAUUGAGUGCAUGAACGAUGGUUUAUGUUUACAAGGGAAGGGAAGAAUUCGUGGAUCACAAAACAGAGAAAGUCUAGCCUAAAAUCAUGUCAAAUAUUAUGCAAUUAAAAUCCUACAUCUGCAGCUGAUUCUAAGUUGAACUCUAUAGCUGUACAUUGUAACGGUAGCAUAGGUUUAGCCUUUACAUUUGUAUAAUUCCUAAACUACUGUGUAUAUAAUAUAAUACAUAAUUCUCAUCAAUGAAAUGUGUGUGAAAUAAUCAUUGAAACUA